This 420-nucleotide ribosomal RNA is filed under the name uncultured bacterium. RNAcentral describes it as "bacterial SSU rRNA". It matches the Rfam family "Bacterial small subunit ribosomal RNA", at positions 335 to 751 of the family's 1533-position model. The record is from RNAcentral.
ACUCCUACGGGAGGCAGCAGUGAGGAAUAUUGGACAAUGGUCGGAAGACUGAUCCAGCCAUGCCGCGUGCAGGAAGACUGCCCUAUGGGUUGUAAACUGCUUUUAUACAGGAAGAAUAAGCUCUACGAGUAGAGUGAUGACGGUACUGUAAGAAUAAGCAUCGGCUAACUCCGUGCCAGCAGCCGCGGUAAUACGGAGGGUGCGAGCGUUAAUCGGAAUUACUGGGCGUAAAGCGCAUGCAGGUGGUUUGUUAAGUCAGAUGUGAAAGCCCGGGGCUCAACCUCGGAAUUGCAUUUGAAACUGGCAGACUAGAGUACUGUAGAGGGGGGUAGAAUUUCAGGUGUAGCGGUGAAAUGCGUAGAGAUCUGAAGGAAUACCGGUGGCGAAGGCGGCCCCCCUGGACAGAUACUGACACUCAGA